GAAUUCAGAUUCCACCAUCUGCUAUGGGUGGGAUGAAUAGUCUCACAAUAGUACCACUAGGCCAUCGUUCCCCCUAGAGGUUAGUCACUCUCAUCUCUGGUAUUCAGGUCAUUUUCCCAUAUUUCUACCAAAGCUGUAAUAAGGUCAGGAGCUGAAUAGCCUAAUGGGUACGUUUAAAGGGCACAGGUUAUCACUGAGCAGGUACAACAUGAUAGCAUUGUCAACAACCUCUUCUAUCACUUUACUAACCUCAUAAGGAGUGAACUUCUAAAUAGUAAAUCUUGCAUUUGCGAUUUCAAAACCUAUAAAUUCUAAGAAGUCUCCCCUUAAGUUAUUACCGCGCAGUUUUCUCCAUGAGUUGAGGCAGAAACUCUCACGUAUAAAGGGAAUUCAAUAAAUGUUUAAUAAGGAAUCAUGUAAAUGAAUGCAGGAAUGUAUGACUUGAGCAGAUGAAUGCAGUUGUAUGGCUAACAGCAGCAGCCAAGCUGUAAUCAAUCAAGUAGCAGCCAGAAUGUGCCACCUGCCUUUCUUUCUGACAAGACUACAUUAUUGAGUAGAAAUUCAUCCAUUGUUUAUUACAAAGACUUGACACUUGUGCAUUUUUGCUGUCAGCUUUUCUGUUAACAAAUGGGAUAGUAGAUUCCAUCAGCAAAUAGACCCUAAAACAAAAACUACAUCAUGUUUCCUGCUAUACAUAAGAUAGUCCUAAUGCUUAUCACCAAGUAAGUAGCUUCAACUGGAUGGAGUGUUUGGAGCUAUGGAUGAUGAGAAGGGAGGAGUUAAAAGGGCAGAUAUUACAUAUCCUGCAUCGGUAUGGAAAGGUCCUGUGGAAAUGGAUGAGGUGUUGUAUUUCCUGCACACAAUAUGUUGUCUAUGGUAUGGAGAACAAACGAUGAGAUCACUGUGUGAUCACUUUGCAGAGCGCUUCUCUUCUGUGGCAUGAUUGUGAGUUUUUAGUGGCCUAUCACUUGAAUUCCCCACCUCUCACACUGAUAUUGCAGUCUUUGGUCAACUGCACCAUUCCGGUGAAGCUCAAUGUAAGCUUCAGGAACAGCAUCUCAUCUUUCAAUCAGUUUAAUUUUACAGAGCAAGCAAUACAUGAUCCCAAGAAAAGAGCUCUUGCUUGCCAUCAGCAAGGAGGGGCUUCACAGAAUUAGUACAUCCAAGCUUUCCAUGGAUGACUGGAAAAAUCCAGAAAACGUUUGGAAAGUCUUUGAAGACCGCUUCAUGAAGACAGUCAUCAGGAAGAAAAUGAAGAGUUUGAAAGACUUUUAGCCCAUGUUAUAGCUUAGUUGUAUGUUCGGUAAUUGAAAUAUCCUGAUUUUCAAAAGGAUUUACUGAACAAAACGUCUUUGUCAGGAUAAGAAGUUCAUGGAUCAGAUGUAUUUUAUCCACUAAAACCUUAUGAACGAAUUUCACAUUAUGUGAAACAGCUGACUAUCACAAUCAGCAACAGAAGAUGGCACUAUUGAGUUUCCUGGCAUAUUUGGAUUUUUU
Rhincodon typus (whale shark) is the source of this 1497-nucleotide long non-coding RNA. RefSeq lists it as uncharacterized. The record is from RefSeq and is a predicted model, not a curated record. NCBI's taxonomy places the organism in Eukaryota, Metazoa, Chordata, Chondrichthyes, Orectolobiformes, Rhincodontidae. The transcript has 3 exons.